Molecule: ribosomal RNA, 477 nt
Filed under: uncultured bacterium
Lineage: Bacteria
Description: partial 16S ribosomal RNA
Rfam family: Bacterial small subunit ribosomal RNA
Source: RNAcentral
GACGAACGCUGGCGGCGUGCUUAACACAUGCAAGUCGAACGGUAAGGCCCUUCGGGGUACACGAGUGGCGAACGGGUGAGUAACACGUGGGUGAUCUGCCCUGCACUUCGGGAUAAGCCUGGGAAACUGGGUCUAAUACCGGAUAGGACCACUGCCUGCAUGGGUGGUGGUGGAAAGCUUUUGCGGUGUGGGAUGGGCCCGCGGCCUAUCAGCUUGUUGGUGGGGUGAUGGCCUACCAAGGCGACGACGGGUAGCCGGCCUGAAAGGGUGACCGGCCACACCGGGACUGAGAGACGGCCCAGACUCCUACGGGAGGCAGCAGUGGGGAAUAUUGCACAAUGGGCGCAAGCCUGAUGCAGCGACGCCGCGUGAGGGAUGACGGCCUUCGGGUUGUAAACCUCUUUCAGCACCGACGAAGCGCAAGUGACGGUACCUGCAGAAAAAGCACCGGCUAACUACGUGCCAGCCGCCGCGUAA